This is a long non-coding RNA of Rhinopithecus roxellana (golden snub-nosed monkey), 2327 nucleotides long. RefSeq lists it as uncharacterized. The transcript is spliced from 4 exons. The record is from RefSeq and is a predicted model, not a curated record. NCBI's taxonomy places the organism in Eukaryota, Metazoa, Chordata, Mammalia, Primates, Cercopithecidae.
GCAAGAAAGAACCCUCAAGUGGAAUUGCUGCUGGCAGUUGGAGCCACACCAGUGUUCUCAGAAUACACCCUGUCCUUUCCAAUUUCCUUCAUAUGAUGUAACCACCAACAGUCUCGGAGUAACAAGUCUUAAAUUCUGAUUCUCAGUCUGCUGAAGUACCAUUUGACCUCAUGGGGAAAAAAAUCUAACAUUCACAACUACCGGUGUCAGGAAGAAGAGAGAGAGAGAAGAAUGAAAUGUUUUCCAUCACAGUGAAUUCUUAAGCAUGUUCUUCACGAUGAAUAAUCUGGUAUCAUGUGAGAUGAGGAAAUAAGAAGCUUUCUGCUGACUUCAUUGCGACCCAGGGUCCAAAAGGUGAUGUAAUCCUGUGGCAAGAAGAUUCAAAACUGUGAGCUAUCUUGCAAAAAAUACAAGAAGAUAUGGAAAGUUUUCGUGAGUGCCUACCACCUAAUCCCAAACACUGUCAUUCAUAUGCGCGACAUUGAGCAAAUCAUUAUUGAGGAUCUAUAUGCCAGGUAUGUGCUAAGCGCUGGGCUUACUGUGGCAAAGAGAACAGAUAUGACCUUGAGGUUUCUGCUCUCACAAAGCUUGCAGUCUCCUAUUUGUGUAUGUGUAAUUCUCUAAAGCUCAGGAAAGCUGUUUACCUCAUUUUGCUUUGGCAUCAUAUUUUUAGGCUAUAGAAAUCAGAGAGUAUGCAAACAUUUUCUAAAAUUACUCUGCCCCACAAAAAGGGAGACACAAAUAACAAUUUGGGGCCAGAUAGAACUGGAUUUGAAUUCCAAGCCUGCCCUUUACAAGCUAUUAAACAAACGAAUUCUCUGAGCCCCUGUUGCUUUCAUGAAGUGGAAAUAAUAUGUAUCCCUUGUAAGGGAUCAUAUCCUUAUUAAUACCUAAAUAGAGACAUUACUUUUUGAAUCAAAAAUAUGAAUUAUAUGGUCCAUCUCCUAAAAUGCAGAAAAAUUAUCAAAAGAGAAGCAUUAUUAAUAUUGUUCACUUAGUUUCAUGAAGAAUGUCACUUUCCAGCAUUAAUACAGACAGAUAUUCUUUGCCAUUGACUUUUUCCUUUUUUCAAAUAAGGUAAAAUAUUCUAACAAUGGAUGCCACUACAACAGAGUUUCUGUAAGGCUGUUAGUUUCCUUUUCCAUGGAUAGUUUCCAUGGCCUUGCUCCACAUAAACUAAGCCCUAUUAUUUCAGUUAUGAUGACUAAAUCUAGUAUGACCAUUAUUUGUCUGUAUAAGGGAUCUUGUAGUUAUCUGUGUAUAAACUUAUCACUCCAUCUAUUUAAUGAUUUGACUAAGUCAAGGAUCAUAUUUUAUUUCCCUCUGUUCUCCCCUCCCAGUGGUACCUCACACAGAAUUAGAGCACACUAAAUGUGUGCUGAGUAAAAAGACUAUCUUACUAUGUGCUUUUUGACAUGUAAGCUGAGAGAGAAAAUUUGGCGUAUGUUGUAGGUAAACUUACUUUGUUUUACCUGGGAGUAGCAAGUAUCAAACAGAUCAUACUCCUGUUACAAUCCUGCUAGAGGAAAAAAAGUAGUUAAAUUCCCCAAUCUCUACUCAAACCAAAACAAAACUUCAAAAAUAUUGAGACACAGAGAGAAGGAAUAGGAUGGGGUCAGGGAGGACUGGUGUUUGUGCAUGGUGUGCAUGCAGCAGGCUAACGUCCUUUCCCUGUUGUAAUAGCUCCGAAUGUAAGUGCCACACAACACCAGGUCUAUGAAAAGCCCGGGGUUUAAAGGUCAAACAAGUUUGGGAAAGCUUGCCCAGCAUUUUCCUCUCUUGCAAGUUGGUGGUGCAUACUGGUAAAUUAAAGCCUAUAAAAACUGCUUAACAUUGUUUUACCUUGCAGUCCCCAAAUUCAUUUGACCAGCGUUUCACCUAUAAACAUCCCACAGAUCUGGUAGAUUCUGUGGAAGGCACAGACUUCAGGAAACUGCUCCACUGUGUUGAAAGGACUUCUUUCUCUUGUUCAUUCACACACAAAAAGCUGCCAUUUUAUUUCCAAAUCCUACAGGACUGGGAAUGUGAGCAUUUCCAGCAAUGUUUUAACUAUAGAAAAGUGAGACCACUUCCUGACAAUUUAGCGGUCCCAGAAAGUUUAUACAAUUGAAUUUUAGGUAUGUAAGAAGUCAGUUCGAAUCCAGGAAAUGGCUUCUCAGCAAUGCCUGGAAUGUCCUCAUAAAAACUGAGAAACAGAUAUCCAAGUCCUGUUUUGGAUCUUGGAGGGACAGAGAGAAAGAAGAGAAAAACAUAAAAUUAUAGUCCCAAAUCUCAUGAUGUUUCUUCCAGUUUUCUACAAAUAAAUAUCCACUUUCUCUGAACUCCAU